GACGAACGCUGGCGGCGUGCCUAAUACAUGCAAGUAGAACGCACAGUUUAUACCGUAGCUUGCUACACCAUAGACUGUGAGUUGCGAACGGGUGAGUAACGCGUAGGUAACCUGCCUGGUAGCGGGGGAUAACUAUUGGAAACGAUAGCUAAUACCGCAUAAUAUUAAUUAUUGCAUGAUAAUUAAUUGAAAGGUGCAAUUGCACCACUACCAGAUGGACCUGCGUUGUAUUAGCUAGUAGGUGAGGUAACGGCUCACCUAGGCGACGAUACAUAGCCGACCCGAGAGGGUGAUCGGCCACACUGGGACUGUGACACGGCCCAGACUCCUACGGGAGGCAGCCGUAGGGAAUCUUCGGCAAUGGACGAAAGUCUGACCGAGCAACGCCGCGUGAGUGAAGAAGGUUUUCGGAUCGUAAAGCUCUGUUGUAAGAGAAGAACGGGUGUGAGAGUGGAAAGUUCACACUGUGACGGUAUCUUACCAGAAAGGGACGGCUAACUACGUG
Molecule: ribosomal RNA, 505 nt
Filed under: uncultured bacterium
Lineage: Bacteria
Description: partial 16S ribosomal RNA
Rfam family: Bacterial small subunit ribosomal RNA
Source: RNAcentral